AGUGAACGCUGGCGGCGUGGUUAAGACAUGCAAGUCGAACGGGAUUCGAUUGAUCGCAAGAAAGAUUGAUGAGAGUGGCAAACGGGUGAGUAACACGUAAACAACCUGCCCUUUAGUUGGGAAUAGCUCGUCGAAAGAUGAAUUAAUGCCGAAUGUGGUGGAUUUUCGCAUGAAAAUUCUACUAAAACUUGAAAUGGUGCUAGAGGAGGGGUUUGCGGCCUAUCAGCUUGUUGGCGGGGUAAAGGCCCACCAAGGCUAAGACGGGUAGCUGAUCUGAGAGGAUGAUCAGCCACAUUGGAACUGAGACACGGUCCAAACACCUACGGGUGGCAGCAGUUUCGAAUCAUUCACAAUGGACGAAAGUCUGAUGGUGCAACGCCGCGUGAGGGAUGAAGGCCUUCGGGUCGUAAACCUCUGUCGCUGAGGAGCAAACGUUAGGUUCAUAGCCUAACCUGAGUUAACUUAGAGAGGGAGCAGUGGCUAACUCCGUGCCAGCGGCCGCGGUAAUACGGAGACUGCGAGCGUUACUCGGAUUUACUGGGCGUAAAGGGUGCGCAGGUGGCCGCACGUGUCGGGUGUGAAAUCUCGGGGCUUAACCCCGAAAUUGCGCUCGAAACUGUGCGGCUGGAGUACUGGAGGGGCAAGCGGAAUUUCGAGUGUAGCAGUGAAAUGCGUAGAUAUUCGAAGGAACACCAAUGGCGAAGGCAGCUUGCUGGGCAGAAACUGACACUAAGGCACGAAAGCGUGGGGAGCAAAAAGGAUUAGAUACCCUUGUAGUCCACGCCGUAAACGUUGUACACUAGAUCUCGGGACAUUCGACCGUUUCGGGACCUAAGCUAACGCGAUAAGUGUACCGCCUGAGGACUACGGCCGCAAGGCUAAAACUCAAAGGAAUUGACGGGGGCCCGCACAAGCGGUGGAGCAUGUGGCUUAAUUCGAUGUAACGCGAAGAACCUUACCUAGAUUUGACAUGCGCUAGACGUACUGUGAAAGCAGUAUUCCCUUCGGGGCUGGCGCACAGGUGCUGCAUGGCUGUCGUCAGCUCGUGUCGUGAGAUGUUCGGUUAAGUCCGGUAACGAGCGCAACCCUCGUCCUUAUUUGCCAGCGGGUAAUGCCGGGAACUAUAGGGAGACUACCCUUUAAGGGAGGAAGGUGGGGAUGAUGUCAAGUCAGCAUGGCCCUUACGUCUAGGGCUGCACACGUGCUACAAUGCCCGAUACAAUGAGAAGCAACGCUGUGAAGCUGAGCAAAUCUACAAAAUCGGGCUCAGUUCAGAUUGAAGUCUGCAACUCGACUUCAUGAAGCCGGAAUCGCUAGUAAUGGCGUAUCAGCAACGACGCCGUGAAUACGUUCCCGGGCCUUGUACACACCGCCCGUCAAGUCAUGAAAGCCGGUUUUGCCCGAAGCAUGUGAGCUAACCGUAAGGAGGCAGCAUAUUAAGGUGAGGCUGGUGAUUGGGACU
RNAcentral lists this ribosomal RNA (1462 nucleotides) under uncultured Opitutia bacterium. Its description in RNAcentral is "uncultured Opitutae bacterium partial 16S ribosomal RNA". It matches the Rfam family "Bacterial small subunit ribosomal RNA". The record is from RNAcentral. Lineage: Bacteria; Pseudomonadati; Verrucomicrobiota; Opitutia.